CCUACGGGAGGCAGCAGUAGGGAAUAUUGCUCAAUGGGGGAAACCCUGAAGCAGCAACGCCGCGUGGAGGAUGAAGGUUUUCGGUUUGUAAACCCCUUUCGUUAGAGAAGAUAAUGACGGUAUCUCACGAAUAAGCACCGGCUAACUCCGUGCCAGCAGCCGCGGUAAUACGGAGGGUGCAAGCGUUACUCGGAAUCACUGGGCGUAAAGAGCGCGUAGGCGGGAUAGCAAGUCAGAUGUGAAAUCCUAUGGCUUAACCAUAGAACUGCAUUUGAAACUGUUAUUCUAGAGUAUGGGAGAGGUAGGUGGAAUUCUUGGUGUAGGGGUAAAAUCCGUAGAGAUCAAGAGGAAUACUCAUUGCGAAGGCGACCUGCUAGAACAUAACUGACGCUGAUGCGCGAAAGCGUGGGGAGCAAACAGGAUUAGAUACCCCUGUAGUC
RNAcentral lists this ribosomal RNA (440 nucleotides) under uncultured bacterium. RNAcentral describes it as "partial 16S ribosomal RNA". It matches the Rfam family "Bacterial small subunit ribosomal RNA", at positions 338 to 795 of the family's 1533-position model. The record is from RNAcentral.